This 376-nucleotide ribosomal RNA is filed under the name uncultured bacterium. Its description in RNAcentral is "bacterial SSU rRNA". It matches the Rfam family "Bacterial small subunit ribosomal RNA", at positions 521 to 895 of the family's 1533-position model. The record is from RNAcentral.
UAAUACGUAGGGGGCGAGCGUUGUCCGGAAUUAUUGGGCGUAAAGAGCGUGUAGGCGGUUCGGUAAGUCUGCCGUGAAAACCUGGGGCUCAACCCUGGGCGUGCGGUGGAUACUGCCGGGCUAGAGGGUGGUAGAGGCGAGUGGAAUUCCCGGUGUAGCGGUGAAAUGCGCAGAUAUCGGGAGGAACACCAGUAGCGAAGGCGGCUCGCUGGGCCACACCUGACGCUGAGACGCGAAAGCGUGGGGAGCGAACAGGAUUAGAUACCCUGGUAGUCCACGCCGUAAACGAUGGACACUAGGUGUGGGCGGAGUCGAAUCUGUCCGUGCCGAAGCCAACGCGAUAAGUGUCCCGCCUGGGGAGUACGGCCGCAAGGCU